This 400-nucleotide ribosomal RNA is filed under the name Pedinellales sp. RNAcentral describes it as "partial small subunit ribosomal RNA". It matches the Rfam family "Eukaryotic small subunit ribosomal RNA", at positions 582 to 975 of the family's 1831-position model. Lineage: Eukaryota; Dictyochophyceae; Pedinellales. The record is from RNAcentral.
AUUCCAGCUCCAAUAGCGUAUAUUAAUGUUGUUGCAGUUAAAAAGCUCGUAGUUGGAUUUCUGGUCGGAACGCCGAUCCGGCUCCGCAAGGGGUCGUGUAUUGGUUUCUCCUGCCAUCCUCAGGGGGAGCUGCGCUGGUAUUCAUUUAUCGGCGUGGUUACGCCUGUCGUUUACUGUGAACAAAUUAGAGUGUUCAAAGCAAGGUGUACUUGAAUACAUUAGCAUGGAAUAAUAAGAUAGGACUUUGGUGGUUCUUUUUAGAUAUUUUGUUGGUUUGCACGCCAAAGUAAUGAUUAAUAGGAGCAGUUGGGGGUAUUCGUAUUCAAUUGUCAGAGGUGAAAUUCUUGGAUUUAUAGAAGACGAACUACUGCGAAAGCAUUUACCAAGGAUGUUUUCAUCA